This 3105-nucleotide long non-coding RNA is filed under the name Homo sapiens (human). Its description in RNAcentral is "PREDICTED lncRNA (TCONS_00035073)". The record is from RNAcentral. Lineage: Eukaryota; Metazoa; Chordata; Mammalia; Primates; Hominidae.
CUGUCACACUCCCCACGGCCCUGUCACACUCCCCACGGCCCUGUCCCACUCCCUACAGCCCUGUCGCACUCCCCACAUCCCGUGGCAUCUGGCUGUACAUGGAAGUGAGGAAGCUGCUGUCUCCCCCAAAGAACAUUGCUCCCAGCCAGGGCUCAGCCCUGUGGGGCAGGACUCAGAGGCUCCUGGUUCAGAGACCAGGGCCCUUGUCACUUGCAGCGUGAACAGCAGGGAACUUUGCCCCCGAGUCCCACAACAGAGGUGGGGACCUUGUCACGGUGGGCCCAGGUGUGACAACACAGGGCCAGCGAUUCUUCACCCGGCAGCAAACACUGCAGCAGACGACAAACAUUGCAGCCCUUGGCAAACAAAAAGCACGCAGCAAACAGCGUGGUCAGCGAAAAGACCCUCCCCUCCCCGGGGAUCAGACAGUGCAAGGCCAUCCCCGGGAUGACCUGCACCCACCCGGCUGCCUGUGUGACCAGCCACAGAACCCACUCUGCAUUAGCACCCACGGCCAGGACAGGCAGGGUGCUGCGCCCGUGGCUUCCUGCAUCUGCCGACACCACCCGAGGCUGCCAGGCCACAACAUGAAGUCAGCUGUGCCAGGAAAUCCCAAGCCUCGCCCACACCUGGCCCCGGGCUGUUGCUGCAUGCCAAGGGGUUGCCCACCUGGCUGUGGCUGCCUUACCCCAUGGAAUCCAGGCUCCAACUGACCUCACCAUUCUGUGGGUUAAUUUUCAUUCUUAAAACCUUCAUCUAAAGACCUUUGCUUCCUGGAACACAGGCCUGGGUUUUCCCAACAGUCGUGGGCACCCGGCCUGGCACGUGCUGCUCAGUGGAGGGACCUCACAGCCCGUUCUAUGUGAGCUGUGCAGGAAAAGCUCCACGGACAAACUCACUCUCCGUGACAAUCAGGAGGUUUCUUCUCCAACCACAAGAAGGAGCUGGGGGAGCUCGUGAGGCCAGGAAGAGAACAGUCCUAAUCCCAUCCUUCCCCUCCUCAGCAGUGACCCCAGGGUCUGCUGUCCUGCCCCAACCCACACUUCAAAGAAGGAAGGACACCUGCCUUCCCCUGCUACCUCACACCCCGAAGCAUGGGGAGCAUGGGGACCCUUGGCAGAGUCCUUUUGUAGUGAAGAAUAACAGACUAGUGUAAAAUAGCAGAAAAGAAGCUAAUGGCCAAACACAUCCAAGCUGGGGAAAACACCUGUUAAAUAUAAUGACAGAAUAUGCUCUCAUCAAAACCCAGGAAACUUUAAGAAUACACUAAACCUCACAAAAUGGGGGCGAAAUACAAUGAUGACCACACGUAUGAGAAAUGGUCAAUGGUAGAAUUGAAAGAAAUGCAAGGGAAAUGAAAGAUAAGGGGUCCUUUCCAAGCAAAGUGGCAACGCCACAACAGCUCGCAGUCAGUCUUGGCGGGACAAGAAUGCUGGGCAGUGCUGGUUUGCAGGGAGGGGUCAACUUUUCUGGAAGCAGCCCAGCAAAGUGCCCCACGAGCCAUCAAUUAUUCCUGUGCUUCGCAGCCACAGCCCACGAAUGCAGGUGCAGCCACAGAAGCGCUGGCAGAGGGGAGGCUGAGAGUGGCGCUGGUUGAAGAUUUCUCACAGGAAACAAAAGGCACAGCCUCCACGUGGCUCAUGGCCAUGAAAACCCUUGACUCAAAACUUUCCACGUCGUGAGGAAGACGCGGGUCAGCUGCCCUAGUUGGGUGAUGAUGAUGCUGUCAGGGAAAGCGUCUGUGCCUAUGUGGGGAGAGUAGGGGAGUGAGAAACAAAGCAAAGCGUGGUGGCUCUGUGGCUCCAGUGCCCCGGAGGCCACGGCUCACUUUUUCACAAUGAACAUGGGCUAUUUUCAUUUUUUAAAGUCUACUAAUGUUUCUAAGGAGACCAUACAGAACCGAAAAUUCUGAAUAACCUUGUCUUCCAUAAGGCAGACUUUUCAUUUCUGUCACCUUUCCGGAAGGGCUGGACACAGAGUCUGUGGGUCUGUGAUGGAGGCGCCACCAUCUCACCCCGAGUCCACGGCCCUCAGUCUCUGUGCUCCCCGAGCCGAAGGUGAGGAAUCCAUGCCUUAUGGUUGGCGAGGGCUGCUGGGGCACCUGCCAUCUCAUCUGCAUCCUGGGAAGCAGGAAGGAGCACAGAGGAAAACACAAGCCUGCUCUGGCCAGCUCAGUGUGCUCCUUCCAGAAACAGGUAAACACAAAAUUACCCUGCGAAGCCGCCAUUCCAUUCCUAGGUCUAUCCCCAAAAGAAAUCAAAGCAGGGACUCAAAUACUUGCACAGCCCUUGCCACGACCUGGAUGUAGUCAGUGCAUCUGUUCCCAGCAAAACUCUUGUUGAAACGGGACCCCCAGUGUGGCAGCGUAGGGAGGUGGGGCCUGAGGGGAGGGAGACGUGUGGGUCGUGGGAGUGACUCCCUGGGGAGUCCGUGGUGCUGGGAGUGAUUCUCCUCUUGUGAUACAGGGUGAGUUCCCAUGGGAAUGGAUUUGUUCCCAUGAGUGGGGCUUGUUCUGAAGCCAAGACAUCCCUGAGCUUUAUCUCUCUUCCCGUGUCUGCUUCCCCUUUGACCUCCUCCAGCAGAAGCCAGGGCCAUGCCAUUGAACUUCUCAGCCAGCAGAACUGUGAGCUUGAUGAAUUACCCCAUCACAGAGGUUCUUUUAUGGCUACACAGAAUGGACUCAGACACCCAUGCUCACAGCCGUGCAGUCACAAUAGCCCAAAGGUGGAAACAACCCAGCAGCCUCGUGCCGAGUGAAGCCAGCCAGUCACAAUAGGACCAAUGCUGUGACCCCACAGAUGGAAGGCCCCCAGAGGAGUCAGAUUCAAGAGGAAGAUGGCAGAAUGGCAGUCAGCAGGGCCAGUGACAGAGGCCGAUGGGAGUGAGUGAUUAGUCAGGACGGAGCUCCAGUUUCGCGCGAUGAAAAGGUGCUGGAGCUGCAUGGUGGCGACAGUGGCACAGCCACGUGCAGGUUCCCAAUGCCACGGAACUGUGCACUUACCAUGGGGAUGGUGGGAACUCUCAUGUACCCGCAUUUGACCAGAGAGGAAGGAAGGAAGGGAGGGGGGAGGGAGGAGGGAGGGAGGUAGCAGAGAAGGAAGGAAG